This is a long non-coding RNA of Lycium ferocissimum, 1168 nucleotides long. RefSeq lists it as uncharacterized. The transcript has 2 exons. The record is from RefSeq and is a predicted model, not a curated record. NCBI's taxonomy places the organism in Eukaryota, Viridiplantae, Streptophyta, Magnoliopsida, Solanales, Solanaceae.
GCGUGGAGGGCUCUGUUGUGAUGAACCAGAAGCAGAAAAAAUGAGAAAAAAAGAGAGUUGGUGAAUGAUUGAUAUAAUCUUGAAUACUAAGGGAAAUAGUGAUAGGGCUACUCUCUAUUGGCAUGCAGUUAUAUAUGUAUAGUGAGUACUCCACUUCACUUUGUCACAGAUUUUAACUGACAUGCCAAAGGAGAGCUGCCCUAUUACUGUUUUUGCUUAAUCCUACACGCUUUUUGGCUCUCAAUACUGCGUGAUGUCUAGAAGGAGCAUGGAGCACAGGAUUCACUGCAAGAUGAAGGUCAGAGACAUUGUCUGUGAACAAAACUAGAGGAGUAUGCAGAGAAACACCAAUAUCCCGAAGAAUGUCGAGUAUUCAUGUUAACUCUGCACUGAGGACGCCAAACACCGGUACUCGGCUUUGGCGCUUGAUCUCACCACCGUAUUCUGCUUCUUGGAUGACCAUGAAAGACAGUUCGAACCAAGGAAUAUGUACAAUCCAAACCUGGAAGGAUGAGUAAUUAAGGGGGAAGCCACCCCAAUCGGCAGCGGAAAAGCCUACCAGAUUGAAAGAGGAUAGUGCAGUGAUUUGAAGUCCGUAAUGGGAGGUACCUGCCAAAUAACGGAGCAUUCUUUUGACACCAAUCCAAUGGCUUGCUACUGGAUUUUUCAUAAAUUGACAGAGAAGAUUGACGGCACGAGCAAUGUAUAAGAGUUAAGUAUUGAAGAACUCCGACGAUGCUACGAUAUUCUGAAGGAUCGACAGCAGGACCUGUGGAAGCAUGCAAAUCAUGUUUCUGAGCAAGUGAAGUCUGAAUGGCUUGAGCACAUGAUAUCAUGGUUCGUUCCAGGAUUAGUGCAUAUUUUUUUUUGGCUUAGGAAGAGACCAUAUUCGCUGAGCGCAAAUGACUUCGACGCCCAAGAAGUAAUGGAGAGCUCCCAUGUCUUUCAUUUCAAACAUGGAAUUCAAGUUGCUGAUAAAUUCAUUAAGGAGUGUAGAACUACUAACUGUAAGGAUUAUAUCAUCUACAUAGAGUUGAAGUAAGAGAGGAACAUAUUUAAGCACAAGAAAAAUAGAAGUAAUUUUACAUACCUUAUGUAAAGCCUUAUCUGUAAACUUUCUCUUUUGCAUUGCAUUUACAUUUUCCCAAAACCAGUUUUUAUGUAGAAG